AAGCUGUGUAGGAGUCUACACAUACAUGUGUGUGUUUAUCUAAUGUUUAUUUCUGUUCAGGUUUUAGGAGGGGUGCAGAUCCAGGAAUGCCCGAGCCAACAAUCUGGAGUCUGCUUUGGGGAUGAAAGAUGUGGCUGUCCUGCUCUAGAACCAGCCGAUGGACAGAGAAAGUGUUUGAAGAUUCAUACGUUCCAGAGGAUGAGGCGAACGCUUUCACCAGCUGACUCUGUCAGCAUGCUGAUGACAUAGGUUGUACAUACAACAAAAUGGAGUUUAUAUGGACAUAACUUAUUUGGAUUGUGGUGUAAUUAAAUCUAGUUUGAAAUGGA
This is a non-coding RNA of Meleagris gallopavo (turkey), 329 nucleotides long. Lineage: Eukaryota; Metazoa; Chordata; Aves; Galliformes; Phasianidae. The record is from RefSeq and is a predicted model, not a curated record.